CUGGAUACCGAGCAGCAACAAGACUGAAAUUGAGUGUUUUAGAUGAAUUCUAACAGAAUUAUGGGGAAACCAACCAAACAACAAGGACCUCUUGCCAUCAACUUGAAGAAUAUCAAAAUAUAAAUUCAAAUCAUACCCUAACCAUAUGGUAUCGAGCCCAAAUAAGUAACAAGGACACGAUAUAGAUCAAAAGAAUUGAUUUAAACCAAAAAAAUCUCUCGGAAACUCUUUUAAAAUCAUGC
This 242-nucleotide long non-coding RNA is filed under the name Elaeis guineensis (African oil palm). RNAcentral's name for it is "long non-coding RNA (EGUI_LNC011179)". The record is from RNAcentral. Lineage: Eukaryota; Viridiplantae; Streptophyta; Magnoliopsida; Arecales; Arecaceae.